Molecule: ribosomal RNA, 269 nt
Filed under: uncultured prokaryote
Description: partial 16S ribosomal RNA
Rfam family: Bacterial small subunit ribosomal RNA
Source: RNAcentral
UACGUAGGUGGCAAGCGUUGUCCGGAUUUAUUGGGCGUAAAGGGAGCGCAGGUGGUUUCUUAAGUCUGAUGUGAAAGCCCACGGCUUAACCGUGGAGGGUCAUUGGAAACUGGGGAACUUGAGUGCAGAAGAGGGAAGUGGAAUUCCAUGUGUAGCGGUGAAAUGCGUAGAGAUAUGGAGGAACACCAGUGGCGAAGGCGGCUUCCUGGUCUGUAACUGACACUGAGGCGCGAAAGCGUGGGGAGCAAACAGGAUUAGAUACCCUGGUA